Molecule: ribosomal RNA, 253 nt
Filed under: uncultured bacterium
Lineage: Bacteria
Description: partial 16S ribosomal RNA
Rfam family: Bacterial small subunit ribosomal RNA
Source: RNAcentral
CACGUAGGGCGCAAGCGUUGUCCGGAAUUAUUGGGCGUAAAGAGCUCGUAGGCGGACUGUUACGUCCGCUGUGAAAAGCCAGGGCUUAACCCUGGCCUUGCAGUGGAUACGGGCAGACUAGAGGUAGGUAGGGGAGAAUGGAAUUCCCGGUGUAGCGGUGAAAUGCGCAGAUAUCGGGAGGAACACCGGUGGCGAAGGCGGUUCUCUGGGCCUUACCUGACGCUGAGGAGCGAAAGCGUGGGGAGCGAACAGG